Molecule: ribosomal RNA, 239 nt
Filed under: uncultured bacterium
Lineage: Bacteria
Description: partial 16S ribosomal RNA
Rfam family: Bacterial small subunit ribosomal RNA
Source: RNAcentral
AGCCUCCUACGGGGGGCAGCAGUGGGGAAUAUUGGGCAAUGGGCGCAAGCCUGACCCAGCAACGCCGCGUGAAGGAAGAAGGCUUUCGGGUUGUAAACUUCUUUUCUCAGGGACGAAGAAAGUGACGGUACCUGAGGAAUAAGCCACGGCUAACUACGUGCCAGCAGCCGCGGUAAUACGUAGGUGGCAAGCGUUAUCCGGAUUUACUGGGCGUAAUGGGCGUGUAGGCGGGAAAGCAA